Molecule: ribosomal RNA, 336 nt
Filed under: uncultured Leptolinea sp.
Lineage: Bacteria; Bacillati; Chloroflexota; Anaerolineae; Anaerolineales; Anaerolineaceae
Description: bacterial SSU rRNA
Rfam family: Bacterial small subunit ribosomal RNA
Source: RNAcentral
CACAGGUGCUGCAUGGCUGUCGUCAGCUCGUGUCGUGAGAUGUUCGGUUAAGUCCGCUAACGAGCCGCAACCCUCGCUGUGUGUUACAAGUGUCACACGGUACUGCCGGUCUUAAGCCGGAGGAAGGUGGGGAUGACGUCAAGUCAGCAUGGCCUUUAUGUCCUGGGCUACACACACGCUACAAUGGCCAACACAAUAGGUUGCUAAGCCGCGAGGUGGAGCCAAUCCUCAAAGUUGGUCUCAGUUCAGAUUGCAGGCUGCAACCCGCCUGCAUGAAGAUGGAGUUGCUAGUAACCGCAGGUCAGCUAUACUGCGGUGAAUACGUUCCCGGGGCUU